CCUACGGGAGGCAGCAGUGAGGAAUAUUGGUCAAUGGGCGCGAGCCUGAACCAGCCAAGUCGCGUGAGGGAAGACGGUCCUACGGGUUGUAAACCUCUUUUGGCGGGGAGCAACGGCUGCCACGCGUGGCCGCACUGAGAGUACCCGGAGAAUAAGCAUCGGCUAACUCCGUGCCAGCAGCCGCGGUAAUACGGAGGAUGCGAGCGUUAUCCGGAUUUAUUGGGUUUAAAGGGUGCGUAGGCGGAGCGUUAAGUCAGUGGUCACAUGGAGGGGCUCAACCCGGUCCCGCCGUUGAAACUGGCGCUCUUGAGUGGAAGAGAAGUAUGCGGAAUGCGUGGUGUAGCGGUGAAAUGCAUAGAUAUCACGCAGAACCCCGAUUGCGAAGGCAGCAUGCCGGCUUCCGACUGACGCUGAGGCACGAAAGCGUGGGGAUCGAACAGGAUUAGAUACCCUAGUAGUC
RNAcentral lists this ribosomal RNA (460 nucleotides) under uncultured bacterium. RNAcentral's name for it is "partial 16S ribosomal RNA". It matches the Rfam family "Bacterial small subunit ribosomal RNA", at positions 338 to 795 of the family's 1533-position model. The record is from RNAcentral.